GACGAACGCUGGCGGCGUGCCUAACACAUGCAAGUCGAACGGAGAAUUAGCAAUAAUUCUUAGUGGCGAACGGGUGAGUAACGCGUAGACAACCUACCCUUUAGAUGGGGACAACACCGCGAAAGUGGUGCUAAUACCGAAUAUUGCUUGAGAAGCGCAUGCUUUGCAAACUAAAGAUGGCCUCUAUUUAUAAGCUAUCGCUAAAGCAUGGGUAUGCGUCUGAUUAGCUAGUUGGUGAGAUAAAAGCUCACCAAGGCAACGAUCAGUAGCCGGUCGGAGAGGAUGAACGGCCACACUGGGACUGAGACACGGACCAGACUCCUACGGGAGGCAGCAGUGGGGAAUCUUCCGCAAUGGACGAAAGUCUGACGGAGCAACGCCGCGUGAGUGAUGAAGGUUUUCGGAUCGUAAAACUCUGUUGUUAAGGACGAGUGUAUAGAUUGUGAAUAAUGGUUUAUAAUGACGGUACCUAACGAGGAAGCCACGGCUAACUACGUGCCAGCCGCCGCAGUAA
RNAcentral lists this ribosomal RNA (514 nucleotides) under uncultured bacterium. RNAcentral's name for it is "partial 16S ribosomal RNA". It matches the Rfam family "Bacterial small subunit ribosomal RNA", at positions 28 to 523 of the family's 1533-position model. The record is from RNAcentral.